This 47-nucleotide non-coding RNA is filed under the name Trichobilharzia regenti. The record is from RNAcentral. Lineage: Eukaryota; Metazoa; Platyhelminthes; Trematoda; Strigeidida; Schistosomatidae.
AUCCAGAUGACGCGAAUCCCAAAUAGGACGAAAUGCGCAUCAGGGAU